Otolemur garnettii (small-eared galago) is the source of this 141-nucleotide small nuclear RNA. Its record names the gene U4. It matches the Rfam family "U4 spliceosomal RNA". From Rfam's summary of the family: U4 small nuclear RNA (U4 snRNA) is a component of the major U2-dependent spliceosome. The structure of U4 snRNA from yeast and human has been reported. U4 snRNA presents a k-turn RNA motif in the 5p-SL related to recognition of Snu13 protein. Lineage: Eukaryota; Metazoa; Chordata; Mammalia; Primates; Galagidae. The record is from Ensembl.
AGUUUUGCCCAGUGGCAGUAUUGUAGCCAAUGAGGUUUAUCUGAGGCACGAUUAUUCAGGGUUGAAAACUUUUCCCAAUACCCCUCUGUGACGACUUGCAAUAUAAUCGGCACUGGCAAUCUUUUUUUUUUUUUUUUAAUG